GACGAACGCUGGCGGCGUGCUUAACACAUGCAAGUCGAACGGAAAGGCCCUGCUUUUGUGGGGUGCUCGAGUGGCGAACGGGUGAGUAACACGUGAGUAACCUGCCCUUGACUUUGGGAUAACUUCAGGAAACUGGGGCUAAUACCGGAUAGGAGCUCCUGCUGCAUGGUGGGGGUUGGAAAGUUUCGGCGGUUGGGGAUGGACGCGCGGCUUAUCAGCUUGUUGGUGGGGUAGUGGCUUACCAAGGCUUUGACGGGUAGCCGGCCUGAGAGGGUGACCGGCCACAUGGGGACUGAGAUACGGCCCAGUCUCCAACGGGAGGCAGCAGUGGGGAAUAUUGCACAAUGGGCGGAAGCCUGAUGCAGCAACGCCGCGGGCGGGAUGACGGCCUUCGGGUUGUAAACCGCUUUCGCCUGUGACGAAGCGGGAGUGACGGUAAUGGGUAAAGAAGCACCGGCUAACUACGUG
RNAcentral lists this ribosomal RNA (468 nucleotides) under uncultured bacterium. Its description in RNAcentral is "partial 16S ribosomal RNA". It matches the Rfam family "Bacterial small subunit ribosomal RNA", at positions 28 to 507 of the family's 1533-position model. The record is from RNAcentral.